UUAAAUUGAAGAGUUUGAUCAUGGCUCAGAUUGAACGCUGGCGGCAGGCCUAACACAUGCAAGUCGAACGGUAACAGAAAGCAGCUUGCUGCUUUGCUGACGAGUGGCGGACGGGUGAGUAAUGUCUGGGAAACUGCCUGAUGGAGGGGGAUAACUACUGGAAACGGUAGCUAAUACCGCAUAACGUCGCAAGACCAAAGAGGGGGACCUUCGGGCCUCUUGCCAUCGGAUGUGCCCAGAUGGGAUUAGCUUGUUGGUGGGGUAACGGCUCACCAAGGCGACGAUCCCUAGCUGGUCUGAGAGGAUGACCAGCCACACUGGAACUGAGACACGGUCCAGACUCCUACGGGAGGCAGCAGUGGGGAAUAUUGCACAAUGGGCGCAAGCCUGAUGCAGCCAUGCCGCGUGUAUGAAGAAGGCCUUCGGGUUGUAAAGUACUUUCAGCGGGGAGGAAGGGAGUAAAGUUAAUACCUUUGCUCAUUGACGUUACCCGCAGAAGAAGCACCGGCUAACUCCGUGCCAGCAGCCGCGGUAAUACGGAGGGUGCAAGCGUUAAUCGGAAUUACUGGGCGUAAAGCGCACGCAGGCGGUUUGUUAAGUCAGAUGUGAAAUCCCCGGGCUCAACCUGGGAACUGCAUCUGAUACUGGCAAGCUUGAGUCUCGUAGAGGGGGGUAGAAUUCCAGGUGUAGCGGUGAAAUGCGUAGAGAUCUGGAGGAAUACCGGUGGCGAAGGCGGCCCCCUGGACGAAGACUGACGCUCAGGUGCGAAAGCGUGGGGAGCAAACAGGAUUAGAUACCCUGGUAGUCCACGCCGUAAACGAUGUCGACUUGGAGGUUGUGCCCUUGAGGCGUGGCUUCCGGAGCUAACGCGUUAAGUCGACCGCCUGGGGAGUACGGCCGCAAGGUUAAAACUCAAAUGAAUUGACGGGGGCCCGCACAAGCGGUGGAGCAUGUGGUUUAAUUCGAUGCAACGCGAAGAACCUUACCUGGUCUUGACAUCCACAGAACCUUGUAGAGAUACGAGGGUGCCUUCGGGAACUGUGAGACAGGUGCUGCAUGGCUGUCGUCAGCUCGUGUUGUGAAAUGUUGGGUUAAGUCCCGCAACGAGCGCAACCCUUAUCCUUUGUUGCCAGCGGUCCGGCCGGGAACUCAAAGGAGACUGCCAGUGAUAAACUGGAGGAAGGUGGGGAUGACGUCAAGUCAUCAUGGCCCUUACGACCAGGGCUACACACGUGCUACAAUGGCGCAUACAAAGAGAAGCGACCUCGCGAGAGCAAGCGGACCUCAUAAAGUGCGUCGUAGUCCGGAUUGGAGUCUGCAACUCGACUCCAUGAAGUCGGAAUCGCUAGUAAUCGUGGAUCAGAAUGCCACGGUGAAUACGUUCCCGGGCCUUGUACACACCGCCCGUCACACCAUGGGGAGUGGGUUGCAAAAGAAGUAGGUAGCUUAACCUUCGGGAGGGCGCUUACCACUUUGUGAUUCAUGACUGGGGUGAAGUCGUAACAAGGUAACCGUAGGGGAACCUGCGGUUGGAUCACCUCCUUA
Molecule: ribosomal RNA, 1545 nt
Filed under: Escherichia coli KO11FL
Lineage: Bacteria; Pseudomonadati; Pseudomonadota; Gammaproteobacteria; Enterobacterales; Enterobacteriaceae
Description: 16S ribosomal RNA
Rfam family: Bacterial small subunit ribosomal RNA
Source: RNAcentral